Molecule: ribosomal RNA, 2787 nt
Filed under: human gut metagenome
Description: bacterial LSU rRNA
Rfam family: Bacterial large subunit ribosomal RNA
Source: RNAcentral
AGCGUACACGGUGGAUGCCCUGGCAGUCAGAGGCGAUGAAGGACGUGCUAAUCUGCGAUAAGCGUCGGUAAGGUGAUAUGAACCGUUAUAACCGGCGAUUUCCGAAUGGGGAAACCCAGUGUGUUUCGACACACUAUCAUUAACUGAAUCCAUAGGUUAAUGAGGCGAACCGGGGGAACUGAAACAUCUAAGUACCCCGAGGAAAAGAAAUCAACCGAGAUUCCCCCAGUAGCGGCGAGCGAACGGGGAGCAGCCCAGAGCCUGAAUCAGUGUGUGUGUUAGUGGAAGCGUCUGGAAAGGCGCGCGAUACAGGGUGACAGCCCCGUACACAAAAAUGCACAUGCUGUGAGCUCGAUGAGUAGGGCGGGACACGUGGUAUCCUGUCUGAAUAUGGGGGGACCAUCCUCCAAGGCUAAAUACUCCUGACUGACCGAUAGUGAACCAGUACCGUGAGGGAAAGGCGAAAAGAACCCCGGCGAGGGGAGUGAAAAAGAACCUGAAACCGUGUACGUACAAGCAGUGGGAGCACGCUUAGGCGUGUGACUGCGUACCUUUUGUAUAAUGGGUCAGCGACUUAUAUUCUGUAGCAAGGUUAACCGAAUAGGGGAGCCGAAGGGAAACCGAGUCUUAACUGGGCGUUAAGUUGCAGGGUAUAGACCCGAAACCCGGUGAUCUAGCCAUGGGCAGGUUGAAGGUUGGGUAACACUAACUGGAGGACCGAACCGACUAAUGUUGAAAAAUUAGCGGAUGACUUGUGGCUGGGGGUGAAAGGCCAAUCAAACCGGGAGAUAGCUGGUUCUCCCCGAAAGCUAUUUAGGUAGCGCCUCGUGAAUUCAUCUCCGGGGGUAGAGCACUGUUUCGGCAAGGGGGUCAUCCCGACUUACCAACCCGAUGCAAACUGCGAAUACCGGAGAAUGUUAUCACGGGAGACACACGGCGGGUGCUAACGUCCGUCGUGAAGAGGGAAACAACCCAGACCGCCAGCUAAGGUCCCAAAGUCAUGGUUAAGUGGGAAACGAUGUGGGAAGGCCCAGACAGCCAGGAUGUUGGCUUAGAAGCAGCCAUCAUUUAAAGAAAGCGUAAUAGCUCACUGGUCGAGUCGGCCUGCGCGGAAGAUGUAACGGGGCUAAACCAUGCACCGAAGCUGCGGCAGCGACGCUGAUGCGUUGUUGGGUAGGGGAGCGUUCUGUAAGCCUGCGAAGGUGUGCUGUGAGGCAUGCUGGAGGUAUCAGAAGUGCGAAUGCUGACAUAAGUAACGAUAAAGCGGGUGAAAAGCCCGCUCGCCGGAAGACCAAGGGUUCCUGUCCAACGUUAAUCGGGGCAGGGUGAGUCGACCCCUAAGGCGAGGCCGAAAGGCGUAGUCGAUGGGAAACAGGUUAAUAUUCCUGUACUUGGUGUUACUGCGAAGGGGGGACGGAGAAGGCUAUGUUGGCCGGGCGACGGUUGUCCCGGUUUAAGCGUGUAGGCUGGUUUUCCAGGCAAAUCCGGAAAAUCAAGGCUGAGGCGUGAUGACGAGGCACUACGGUGCUGAAGCAACAAAUGCCCUGCUUCCAGGAAAAGCCUCUAAGCAUCAGGUAACAUCAAAUCGUACCCCAAACCGACACAGGUGGUCAGGUAGAGAAUACCAAGGCGCUUGAGAGAACUCGGGUGAAGGAACUAGGCAAAAUGGUGCCGUAACUUCGGGAGAAGGCACGCUGAUAUGUAGGUGAGGUCCCUCGCGGAUGGAGCUGAAAUCAGUCGAAGAUACCAGCUGGCUGCAACUGUUUAUUAAAAACACAGCACUGUGCAAACACGAAAGUGGACGUAUACGGUGUGACGCCUGCCCGGUGCCGGAAGGUUAAUUGAUGGGGUCAGCGCAAGCGAAGCUCUUGAUCGAAGCCCCGGUAAACGGCGGCCGUAACUAUAACGGUCCUAAGGUAGCGAAAUUCCUUGUCGGGUAAGUUCCGACCUGCACGAAUGGCGUAAUGAUGGCCAGGCUGUCUCCACCCGAGACUCAGUGAAAUUGAACUCGCUGUGAAGAUGCAGUGUACCCGCGGCAAGACGGAAAGACCCCGUGAACCUUUACUAUAGCUUGACACUGAACAUUGAGCCUUGAUGUGUAGGAUAGGUGGGAGGCUUUGAAGUGUGGACGCCAGUCUGCAUGGAGCCGACCUUGAAAUACCACCCUUUAAUGUUUGAUGUUCUAACGUUGACCCGUAAUCCGGGUUGCGGACAGUGUCUGGUGGGUAGUUUGACUGGGGCGGUCUCCUCCUAAAGAGUAACGGAGGAGCACGAAGGUUGGCUAAUCCUGGUCGGACAUCAGGAGGUUAGUGCAAUGGCAUAAGCCAGCUUGACUGCGAGCGUGACGGCGCGAGCAGGUGCGAAAGCAGGUCAUAGUGAUCCGGUGGUUCUGAAUGGAAGGGCCAUCGCUCAACGGAUAAAAGGUACUCCGGGGAUAACAGGCUGAUACCGCCCAAGAGUUCAUAUCGACGGCGGUGUUUGGCACCUCGAUGUCGGCUCAUCACAUCCUGGGGCUGAAGUAGGUCCCAAGGGUAUGGCUGUUCGCCAUUUAAAGUGGUACGCGAGCUGGGUUUAGAACGUCGUGAGACAGUUCGGUCCCUAUCUGCCGUGGGCGCUGGAGAACUGAGGGGGGCUGCUCCUAGUACGAGAGGACCGGAGUGGACGCAUCACUGGUGUUCGGGUUGUCAUGCCAAUGGCACUGCCCGGUAGCUAAAUGCGGAAGAGAUAAGUGCUGAAAGCAUCUAAGCACGAAACUUGCCCCGAGAUGAGUUCUCCCUGACUCCUUGA